AAGAUUUUAAUGGUCGAACAGACCAAAAAUUUUAAUUUUUCCUUUUAAAUUUAAUCUUAAUUCAACAUCGAGGUAAUAAUCUUUUUUAUCAAUAUGAUCUCUCCAAAAAAAUUAUU
Molecule: ribosomal RNA, 116 nt
Filed under: Ichneumonidae sp. CH-2014
Lineage: Eukaryota; Metazoa; Arthropoda; Insecta; Hymenoptera; Ichneumonidae
Description: partial 16S ribosomal RNA
Source: RNAcentral